Molecule: ribosomal RNA, 531 nt
Filed under: uncultured bacterium
Lineage: Bacteria
Description: bacterial SSU rRNA
Rfam family: Bacterial small subunit ribosomal RNA
Source: RNAcentral
AACGAACGCUGGCGGCGUGGAUUAGGCAUGCAAGUCGAACGAGAAUCUGGGGAACCAAGUUUCGGACAAGGUUUCCGGAGGAAAGUGGCGGAAGGGUGAGUACAACAUGGGCAAUCCAUCUCCAAGUUGGGUAUAACUCCCGAAAGGGAGGAUAAUCCCGAAUGUGGGUGACCCGGGGGCAUCCCGGGGGAAACUAAAGGCGGGGACCGCAAGGCCUGCCGCUUGGAGCCGAGCCCGUGCACUAUCAGCUUGUUGGCGGGGUAACGGCCCACCAAGGCGAUGACGGUUAGCUGGUCUGAGAGGAUGGUCAGCCACACUGGGACUGAGAUACUGCCCAGACUCCUACGGGAGGCUGCAGUCGAGAAUCAUUCGCAAUGGGCGGAAGCCUGACGGUGCGACGUCGCGUGGAGGAUGAAAGGUCUUCGGAUUGUAAACUCCUGUCAUGUGGAAUAAACGGCCUUGGUGCGAACAGCACGGAGGAAUGAUAGUACCACAGGAGGAAGAGACGGCUAACUCUGUGCCAGCCGCCGC